Molecule: long non-coding RNA, 1970 nt
Organism: Populus trichocarpa (black cottonwood)
Lineage: Eukaryota; Viridiplantae; Streptophyta; Magnoliopsida; Malpighiales; Salicaceae
Exons: 2
Source: RefSeq, a predicted model, not a curated record
UGCUGUUGUUGGAAUUUCUUGCUAUAGGGAUCAGAAGGAUACUGAUUUCCUUUUUUCUGUGUUGUUUGCAUUGGUUGGUGAGAAGAAACAUGUUGGGAGGAUUAAUGUCUCUUGCUGGACCUUUGUUUUUAGACAAUUUGUUGCUUUUUUCAGUCUCUUUCACUGGGAACACAUUUUAUAGAUUUUGUAUCGGUUGUUCUUGCUCUAUCAUGGCUUGUCAACACAUUUAUCUCUCUUUUGUUUAACAAAGGGACACUUAAACAAUUAAAACAAAAUUGAACUCUCAUAUUUAUUUCACAUUUAACUUUCAUUCUAUGAACAUACCAUUUCCAAGUCAGUCUGUAAAAUGGGAACAAACUAUCAUCGUUUUCUGAACACAUUUACCUCUCAUUUGUUUUAGCUAUGCUUGGAGGGAACUUCGCUGCUCUCAGCCUUCUGUGAUGCUGUUAUUCAUGUUCUUGUUGCAUACCUCGACUCACUCUAUCAAACUUGCCAGCUACUGCUCUCAAACCCCUCUCAGUUUCAGGUAUUCAUAAUUUCCAGAGGUUUGCUUCUUCUUUUUUUGGUGUUCUUUGCCACAAUCGGCAAUGCUUUUGCAUCUGCUCUUUUGUUUUUUUUUAUAUAUAUAUUUUCUAGGCUUUCUUCUUUGACUCAUUAAAUUAAUAAGAGAGUUAGUAGUUGAUGGGAACCCUAUGUUCGGUUUACUUAGGCUAUGUUCUCUGGAAUUCUCAAUUCUUCAUUGAUUUGCUCUCGUAUAUGGUGGUAUUUAUCACAACACCGAAACUAUUAUUAUUAUUAUUAUUAUUAUUUUAAAUGUGAAGUAACAGCUGAGACACCCACUCGACGCAAGUCCCAAAAUAAGUACCAUAACUUUACAGCAAGCAAAUGAAAUGCAGUCGGUCACAAGCUGAAUAUAUGAUGGGCACAAAUGACCGUUCUUUCGAGGAGACGGCUAGAUUUUUGCAAUCUCUGUACCUGAAGAAGAACAGUGCAAAGUCUUAAUGAAAAUAAAUGCACAAUGACAAGUGGGGCAAGAAAAAAAAAACCCCUUUUAUCAUUUACAAUUGAGGAAAAAACGAAAAACGUCAAAGCAAUAUCUAUAUAACUCUUAUCUUCACUUGCUAUAAGGCUACUGUAACCCUAUGUUGAGUGAAUGUGGUUUUUUUGACUAAUUAGCCUACCGUCGAUUCAUGGCGGCUUCAAUCCUGCUGUGAAAGCAACUGGGAUAGACUUGUGCUUGCUUUUCCAUGAUAGACAAAAAAUUAACUUCACCUCAUAUUUAUGGCACUAGGGCCUAGAUUUUUGUUUCGUCUUAGACUAUGUCUUAAAAAAAAACAGUUUCACUCUUUGAUGUCAAUAAAUCAGUAGCCAAAGCUCGGAUUGAAUCCAUUGAUAGAUUUUCUUUCAAAGAGGACCUUGCAGUCCCCUCAAUUGCUUCACUUAAGUAGAGAAUAGCUAGGUUCCCUGCUAUCAUUUUAUAUUCUGGUGAUUCAUGAAAAGAACUCAUGAGUUUGUUUUCAAAGACGAGGUUCAAAUCUUUGAGAUUUAUGCUGGUUUUUCCAUUGACAACAAUGCCAUUUUUAAAAACUACACUAAAUGUUUUACAGGUGCUUCUGAAUAAGUAAUUAAGCAAAUGGUGAAUGCUGGAUUAUAGAACAAGAAUGGAAUUGAAGAGUGCUAAUUCUUAUUCAUGGAAUUGUGCUAUGUGGUUUCGUUGCUCUAUUAUGCAGUGAGAAACUUUUUUACAAUUUUCAUUUACAGGACGUGUAGCUAAGUAGCCAUGCAUAUGCUGGAUAUUUUUUUGCAGCUUCUGCUAAAACUCACUUUCUUUAACAGUAUUCGGCUUGAUUCUUGCUAGCACUGUUAUAUAUAUCCAACUCCUUUUAAUUUAUUGAGCACCUUUUUGUUCAAGAAUCAUUGGAUAACAAAUACGUUUAAUUAAAGUAGCUUCAUAUUUUCUUAUUCACUUA